RNAcentral lists this ribosomal RNA (907 nucleotides) under uncultured bacterium. RNAcentral's name for it is "bacterial SSU rRNA". It matches the Rfam family "Bacterial small subunit ribosomal RNA", at positions 335 to 1235 of the family's 1533-position model. The record is from RNAcentral.
ACUCCUACGGGAGGCAGCAGUGGGGAAUUUUGGACAAUGGGCGCAAGCCUGAUCCAGCAAUGCCGCGUGAGUGAAGAAGGCCUUCGGGUUGUAAAGCUCUUUCAGUUGAAAAGAAAAAGUCGUGACUAAUAAUCAUGGCUCAUGACGGUAUCAACAGAAGAAGCACCGGCUAACUACGUGCCAGCAGCCGCGGUAAUACGUAGGGUGCAAGCGUUAAUCGGAAUUACUGGGCGUAAAGGGUGCGCAGGCGGUUCUGUAAGUCAGAUGUGAAAUCUCCGGGCUUAACCUGGGAACUGCGUUUGAAACUGCAGAGCUAGAGUGCGGCAGAGGGAGGUGGAAUUCCAUGUGUAGCAGUGAAAUGCGUAGAGAUAUGGAAGAACAUCGAUGGCGAAGGCAACCUCCUGGGCUAGCACUGACGCUCAUGCACGAAAGCGUGGGGAGCAAACAGGAUUAGAUACUCUGGUAGUCCACGCCCUAAACUAUGUCAACUAGUUGUCGGGUCUUAAUAGACUUGGUAACGUAGCUAACGCGUGAAGUUGACCGCCUGGGGAGUACGGUCGCAAGAUUAAAACUCAAAGGAAUUGACGGGGACCCGCACAAGCGGUGGAUUAUGUGGAUUAAUUCGAUGCAACGCGAAAAACCUUACCUACCCUUGACAUGUCAGAAAAUUUUCAGAGAUGAAUUUGUGCCCGAAAGGGAAUCUGAACACAGGUGCUGCAUGGCUGUCGUCAGCUCGUGUCGUGAGAUGUUGGGUUAAGUCCCGCAACGAGCGCAACCCUUGUCAUUAAUUGCCAUCAUUAAGUUGGGCACUUUAAUGAGACUGCCGGUGAUAAACCGGAGGAAGGUGGGGAUGACGUCAAGUCCUCAUGGCCCUUAUGGGUAGGGCUUCACACGUAAUACAAUGGCG